GGCAUUCGCCACAUUCAUGUGCUACCCGUUUAGGGACAAUGUUGAGGUUGAUUCACUCACAUCGAAAAUUGCAGCGCUGUUUCACCUGAACUCGUCUGAAGUGGAGGAUGAGAUUUUGAAACUACAGACUGACAUUCAGCUGAAGUCCAGGGCUCAUGGACAGUUCUGGAACUUACUCACAGGGGAAAAGUACCCAAACAUGAGGAAAUGUGCCACCUCCUUGACUGCAUUAUUUGGCUCUACUUAUUUAUGUGAGUCAGCCUUUUCCCUCAUGAAGAUCAUUAAGUCCACAAUUACCGUUCCACAAUGACUGAUCAUCAUUUGGAGGCCUGCUUGAGGCUGGCUAUCAGCAGCUACUGUCCGGACUAUGCAACCCUGGCUGAUUCUAUUCAGUGCACGUCAUCAGAGUAAGGUGGCGAUUGCAGGCGCAUUUUAUCCGAACUGCUUCCUCCAGGGAACUGUGGACGAGGAGCUCGCCUCCAAGGAACUCUAUGGAAACGACCCCAGGACCACCAUAGUGGUGUGUAAUCUCCCUCCAUUUGCAUUCCUCUACUAUAAACAGCUCCAGUCUCUCUUCAGACACUGUGAUUAAGUCAAAUCCAUCUCCUUUGACAGCUCCAGGGCCUAUGUAGAGUUCUACCGCUCGUCAAUGAGAGGUUCUGGCGUUCUCCCAGAGGUCUCUCUGUCUCUCCUCCUCGCGCAGCAGAGACUUCCUCUCCAUCUCAACGUUUAACCCGCUGGAGAGGUGGAGACUUGGGCAGGGGGGUAGUGUAUCUCACACCUCAGAUAUACACGGUACACACACACACACACACACACACACACUGCAGCGAGCAUCAUCAGAUGAGUCAUAGUUACAUUUUAAGUGAGAGUAGUCAUGUGACCACAUCCCCUAGAC
Molecule: long non-coding RNA, 898 nt
Organism: Ictalurus punctatus (channel catfish)
Lineage: Eukaryota; Metazoa; Chordata; Actinopteri; Siluriformes; Ictaluridae
Source: Ensembl